AUGGCUCGUGGCGAUCAUCAAAACGAUGAUGAUGAUUUCAUGGAUCCACCACAGCGUAAUCGGGCAACUGAACGGAGAAAAGAGGGUGAUGAGAAGAAGAAACAUAUUCGCAACAGAACCUCCCAAGAACGACUGACUGCGUUGACUGACAAAUUCACCAACGAUCAGAAGGGGGCUGCUGCUGAGAUGGGUAUGCAGUCUAUGAUGGAUGUCCGGUGCACGAACCUUGUCAACCCUGUAUGCGACUGGCUUGGUGAGAUCUACGACCCCGCCUCCAGGGAAUUCGUGAUUCCGGGAUGUGGAAGACUACCGUUGAACGAGGAAUCCAUGUUCUGCACUUUGGGUGUGUCUCGUGGACAUAUGAAAGUCCCGUAUGAGGUCAACAAUGAGAUCGAGGAAGCGUUGUUCCCCCGUUUGUUUCCUGGGUCUGAAUCCAUGCCGAACACGUCUGCAGUGGCAGAUUCGCUGCAGGCCAUGACGACGCAUGGAGAUGUUUUCAAGAUGAAGCUACUCAUGUACCUCAUCUCAGCUGUUUUCGCGCAGACCACCUCUCUUCGCCCAAGCAACAAAUGCUUCCCCAUCCUGGCGGAUCGGGGAAAUGUGAAGAACAUGAAUUGGUGUAAGUUUAUUGCCGACUUCCUGCACGAUGCAUUCUCAAGCAAGAUGUACCAAAAGGGUUGUCGACUGCAUUUAAUGCUCAUGUACGUCGACUGUCUUGACCUGUCCACCGUGGAUUUCACUGGGACAGGAGGCCCGCCGCCUGCGCAUAAGUUUGUUGUUUCUGCGUGGACUAUCAAUGUUGUCAAGGCUGUGCUUGCCGCAGAUAAGGCUACUGACACCACAUAUGGAAAACUGCAGCUGAUGGCCAAGCAUGCUAUAGACUACAACGUGUUUGGGGGGCCUCAAAACUUUGGAAAGUGGAUGGACGUGCACUCAGCUUCGUCUUGCCCUGCCGAGGUGAGGACACCUAUUGAGCAUCUAAUAGGGCAGUUUGCAUCUGGAAUGACCGGCUUCCUCGGGAAGUUGGUUGAGGGUUCCCAAGAGCCUGGUGACACACAAGAUGAACUAGAUGGAGAUGCUGGUCUCAGCAAGGAUGACGACGAUGUCAUGAAGAAUGUGCAAGAGGACACCGGGGAUGAUGAUCAUGAUGAAGUUCACGCAGGUGGUAACAAGGGCAAGGAUGCAAUAGAUGUCCCCCAACUGGAGAAAGUGAAACAACACACGGCUGCGAGAGGCGAGGGGAUUUUGCCAUCAAAGAGGGGGAGGGCUCCAGAGGGUGUUGGGCAGGGUUCUGCUGGCAAGAGGUCUAGGACCGACCCCGUAGCUGCCAGGAAGAGCGAGCCGACAGCUGGUGGACGAGCAGUUACGAAGAAACAGGCGCCAACGCCAACCCAUGUUUCUGCUCGGUUGAACAAAGCGUCCCCAUUGCCGGUGACACCCCUUCCACCAGGUCAUCUCCUCGCACAACGACGACCAACACCGGGGAUCCUGUCGUGUUGCCAGACAUGA
RNAcentral lists this ribosomal RNA (1509 nucleotides) under Triticum aestivum (bread wheat). RNAcentral's name for it is "partial small subunit ribosomal RNA". The record is from RNAcentral. Lineage: Eukaryota; Viridiplantae; Streptophyta; Magnoliopsida; Poales; Poaceae.